GGCGUGGCGUGGCGUGCGGAAUUUGGGGAGGAAAUAUUCACGUUUGUUUAGGGUCCUCCUGUGUUGUGUUAAUCCACCACGACCGUGUGAGAAAUGUACCAUUUCCAGAUGAAGAAACGCUCGUCACCCUUGCUCACUCUGCGAGGCCCUGAUAGAGCCAGGAUUAGGCAUUCCCCUCACCGUUUCUGCAAAAUGGGGUAACUAACCUGUGGGAUCGUUGUGAAGAUUGAGUAUCGAGAUUCAGUGGUUUUUAAUUUAUAUCAAGUUCCUCUCCGUUGGCAGCAGUAAUAACAUAGUAUCAACAAGCACUUGCCAGGCAGACUUUUAUCUUCACUUACACUACAACUCUGUGAGGGGAAUACUGAGGAGGGUUCACUGUUUUGCUAAUGUGCAGAGUGGUAUUUCUCAAGCUCCCUUGACUGAAUGGAAACACUUUUCUAUGCUUUUCUACUGAGCAUCUGCAACAACCCAUGCACUCUGGGAGUCUUCAUGGGGAAGGAUGAAUUACAGCUUGGUGUUCCCCUUUCCUUUAAAGAAAGGCAGGUAUACAGACCACCUACUAUGGGACACAGAGAUGCAGUUUGUACUCCCCCUUUGUGACUAUCUUUGCAAGGAGACC
RNAcentral lists this long non-coding RNA (619 nucleotides) under Zalophus californianus (California sea lion). RNAcentral describes it as "lncRNA (ENSZCAG00015003234.1)". Lineage: Eukaryota; Metazoa; Chordata; Mammalia; Carnivora; Otariidae. The record is from RNAcentral.